UUUACGGAGAGUUUGAUCCUGGCUCAGGAUGAACGCUGGCGGCGUGCUUAACACAUGCAAGUCGAACGGUGAAGCAGAGCUUGCUCUGUGGAUCAGUGGCGAACGGGUGAGUAACACGUGAGCAAUCUGCCCCUGACUCUGGGAUAAGCGCUGGAAACGGCGUCUAAUACCGGAUACGAGCUGCGACCGCAUGGUCAGUAGCUGGAAAGAAUUUCGGUCAGGGAUGAGCUCGCGGCCUAUCAGCUUGUUGGUGAGGUAAUGGCUCACCAAGGCGUCGACGGGUAGCCGGCCUGAGAGGGUGACCGGCCACACUGGGACUGAGACACGGCCCAGACUCCUACGGGAGGCAGCAGUGGGGAAUAUUGCACAAUGGGCGAAAGCCUGAUGCAGCAACGCCGCGUGAGGGAUGACGGCCUUCGGGUUGUAAACCUCUUUUAGCAGGGAAGAAGCGAAAGUGACGGUACCUGCAGAAAAAGCGCCGGCUAACUACGUGCCAGCAGCCGCGGUAAUACGUAGGGCGCAAGCGUUAUCCGGAAUUAUUGGGCGUAAAGAGCUCGUAGGCGGUCUGUCGCGUCUGCUGUGAAAACCCGAGGCUCAACCUCGGGCCUGCAGUGGGUACGGGCAGACUAGAGUGCGGUAGGGGAGAUUGGAAUUCCUGGUGUAGCGGUGGAAUGCGCAGAUAUCAGGAGGAACACCGAUGGCGAAGGCAGAUCUCUGGGCCGUAACUGACGCUGAGGAGCGAAAGGGUGGGGAGCAAACAGGCUUAGAUACCCUGGUAGUCCACCCCGUAAACGUUGGGAACUAGUUGUGGGGUCCAUUCCACGGAUUCCGUGACGCAGCUAACGCAUUAAGUUCCCCGCCUGGGGAGUACGGCCGCAAGGCUAAAACUCAAAGGAAUUGACGGGGACCCGCACAAGCGGCGGAGCAUGCGGAUUAAUUCGAUGCAACGCGAAGAACCUUACCAAGGCUUGACAUAUAGAGGAAACGUCUGGAAACAGUCGCCCCGCAAGGUCUCUAUACAGGUGGUGCAUGGUUGUCGUCAGCUCGUGUCGUGAGAUGUUGGGUUAAGUCCCGCAACGAGCGCAACCCUCGUUCUAUGUUGCCAGCACGUAAUGGUGGGAACUCAUGGGAUACUGCCGGGGUCAACUCGGAGGAAGGUGGGGAUGACGUCAAAUCAUCAUGCCCCUUAUGUCUUGGGCUUCACGCAUGCUACAAUGGCCGGUACAAAGGGCUGCAAUACCGUGAGGUGGAGCGAAUCCCAAAAAGCCGGUCCCAGUUCGGAUUGAGGUCUGCAACUCGACCUCAUGAAGUCGGAGUCGCUAGUAAUCGCAGAUCAGCAACGCUGCGGUGAAUACGUUCCCGGGUCUUGUACACACCGCCCGUCAAGUCAUGAAAGUCGGUAACACCUGAAGCCGGUGGCCCAACCCUUGUGGAGGGAGCCGUCGAAGGUGGGAUCGGUAAUUAGGACUAAGUCGUAACAAGGUAGCCGUACCGGAAGGUGCGGCUGGAUCACCUCCUUUCUAAGGA
This 1527-nucleotide ribosomal RNA is filed under the name Microbacterium sp. SMR1. RNAcentral's name for it is "bacterial SSU rRNA". It matches the Rfam family "Bacterial small subunit ribosomal RNA". Lineage: Bacteria; Bacillati; Actinomycetota; Actinomycetes; Micrococcales; Microbacteriaceae. The record is from RNAcentral.